This 333-nucleotide ribosomal RNA is filed under the name Triticum aestivum (bread wheat). RNAcentral describes it as "partial small subunit ribosomal RNA". Lineage: Eukaryota; Viridiplantae; Streptophyta; Magnoliopsida; Poales; Poaceae. The record is from RNAcentral.
AUGGCUCAAACAGAAAAACAGAGGUUGUUUGCUAAACAUCAAGAAGGUGCAAGGAAGGAUGUGGAACGCGCAUUUGGUGUGCUCCAGGCGCGAUGGUCUGUUUUACGUCGCCCGGCACGUUUAUAUGACCGGGGCGAUCUCCAUCAUAUUAUGUUAGCCUGCAUCAUUCUACACAACAUGAUAGUUGAGGAUGAAAACGAAGAGGCGGGGAAUAUGCUUGAUUUGAAUCAGGAAGCAGGAUCGUCAAUUGUUUUCCAUCAGUAUUUACUCACGGUGACAUGCCAAUAUUUGCCGAGGUACUUGAAAGAGAUGCUAGAAUUCGUGAUCGUCUGA